GGCAUAACUGGCACACAUACGGAGCACCUUGUUGCUCAUCCACCACGUCCAUUGGGAAGGUCCGAGAGUCCCGUCUGCCCGCCGCGUCCCGCUGCCGCCUGUUCCUUCGGAACCCGUCCCGGUACGUUUCCCUCGCCCGUCGCCUCUGGCCGUCCACACUAUGCGCCCACGACCUCGAUCUGUGCUGCUGCCACCUUCACGCCGCCAAAGCGUGGCGCACCUCUCGCGGAGGCCUCCAACUGUUCCUGGCUCCGGAGCAGGGGGAUAAUAACUGGGUCGUUGCGUGCAGGGUGGUGGUGGCACGUCGUGCGUUGCGCGUGGACGCGUCUGGGGGCGCGGUGCAAUGAGGGCGUAUUCGGGACGGAGUGCGGUGCGGGUUUCUUUUUGGCGGCACAAGAAACCAACCGUUGAGGACCGGUCCGUUUCCGAGAUCGCGAGACGUUGAAAGCGCCGCCGAGGGAUCAUUCUAUUCAGUGCAAUAUGCCGCAGCAGUGUUCUUGCGCUCUGCCCACUCAAUUCGGACUAUUGCC
Molecule: RNase P RNA, 530 nt
Filed under: Allomyces macrogynus ATCC 38327
Lineage: Eukaryota; Fungi; Blastocladiomycota; Blastocladiomycetes; Blastocladiales; Blastocladiaceae
Description: Nuclear RNase P
Rfam family: Nuclear RNase P
About the family: Ribonuclease P (RNase P) is a ubiquitous endoribonuclease, found in archaea, bacteria and eukarya as well as chloroplasts and mitochondria. Its best characterised activity is the generation of mature 5'-ends of tRNAs by cleaving the 5'-leader elements of precursor-tRNAs. Cellular RNase Ps are ribonucleoproteins.
Source: Rfam by way of RNAcentral